This 875-nucleotide long non-coding RNA is filed under the name Phasianus colchicus (ring-necked pheasant). Its description in RNAcentral is "lncRNA (ENSPCLG00000017320.1)". Lineage: Eukaryota; Metazoa; Chordata; Aves; Galliformes; Phasianidae. The record is from RNAcentral.
AAACCCUAUCGGCCAUUGGGGGGGCGUGGCCAGUGCAGAGUGGGCGUGGCCUCUGUCUCCCAUUGACUGCAGCAGGAGGGCGUGGUCGAGCCAAGCCACGCCCACACAGACAGAAAAAGCCGUGCUUCCAUUGGUUCCCAUCACAGGGGAGGGGGGCGGGGCUUUGCGGUGUGGGCGUGGCUUCAGCUCCUCAUAGCUCAUAUGGGGGGCGUGGCCAUGACAGAGUGGGCAUGGCUUCGGCUUGGUGGGCGUGGUUGGGAAAGGCUGGGCGUGGCCUGGAAAUUGUGGGCGUGGCUUGGGCGAUGUGGGCGUGGCUUUCAUAGGGGUGAACAGGGCCAUGUCCGUGUGGGCGUGGCUUUAACACGAGUGGGCGUGGCCUGGGCUAUUGUGGGCGUGGCUUGGGAAUCGUGGGCGUGGCUUGUGACCGCGUGGGCGUGGCCUGGACGGGGUGGGCGUGGCUUAAACCCUCGGCAGGAGGGAGCGCUGACAACGCAGCAGUUUUUUGGGUGCCCCCCGGCGUCGGAACCACAGCAGGGCCGCCAGCAGCCCCCCGGCCCCACCCAGCAACGCGAGGGGCGUGGCUACGGCUCCAGGCCCCGCCCCCUCCCCGCCCACUUCGAUCACGAUCACUUCCGUUUCCCCUCCCCCUCCCCCGGUUUCCGGUGGGGAUGAAGAAGGGGCGGGGCCUGGGCGGGGUGGUGGGCGGGGCUCCGGGCAGCCCAACCAAUCGCGGAGCAGGGAUUUGGGGUAACCCGGGGUGACGCGAAGCUGGCGGUUGUCGAACUGCCAAUAGCGGGAGCCCUUCACAAAGUACGUGUAGGCUGAGGGUCAUUAGGGGUCAUUAGGGGUCAUUGGGGUCACGAGGGGUCAUUUGG